AGAACCCUGGCCGAAUUCCUCCCCUCUCCUCUCUCCUAAAUCAUCUUUCUUGCUAUUGGUGUUUGUAAACCAUUAGAGGAGUGACAUUUGUGACUCUAGAAGCUCCAAGACCUCAAGAUCAACAAGGAACUCAAAGGUGGUUGUCCGUAGGGAACAUAUUUAUCAUAAUCGCACAAAACACAAGAGGGCGGUGAUCAUCGAAUAAUCAACUUUCCACGUCUACUAAGCGCAUAUAUAUCUUCCCCAAAUUCAUGGCAUGUCAAAACUUUCUUUUUCGUGUGGGCAAAAUGGUACUUCAAUCAUCAAUAUGAGGAGAGAUUUGAUAGACUUGAUGUUGCAAAUCAGCGUGCUUUUAUUUUAUGUAGCGGAUUAAAUCGAUAAAAUAUUUUAUGCUUUGAUUUUCAUCAUCUAGAGAUAUUUGAACUCCUAUAUUAGGAUAUAUAUACAACUUGUUUACUUGUUUUAUAGGGUAAAAAUAUGUAAAUUUAUGUUAUCAUUUUACUUGUGAGUAUAUAAUGAGAACUCUUUUUGAAAAAAGAUAUAUUUUUCACGAAAACUCUCAAUAUUUGCGAUCAUCUUCAUUGCCCACCACCCACGUAUUAUGAUGGUUGAUCAGGGCGGCGGCCCAUUGACAUAUCUAUUUCUGUUCAUUAGAGUUAUUAGUUACUUAAUAUAAAGUCUGAACAAAGUUUCUCGUGAAUUAAAAAAAUAACAACAUAUUUUCAUCACAUUAACAAACAAACUUCAGUUUAACCGAGCUUUGAAAGAACAUCAUUAAGACUAGAUACAGCUGCAGCGUAACUCUUCUCUGCAUCAGCCGGGCUUUUGAUCUUUGCUGCGUAGUCCAACUAAUCCAAACAACAUACAAAAACAACAUCAAAAUACAUGCAUCGGAAAGAUAAGCAGUUUGACCAAAUUACCCUUACACACUACUAGCAUUAGAAUGUAAUUAUAAUUCACUUUCUUUCUUUCAUCGAAAAUCUCCAGUUUACCCUACGAUUAUGAAAUUUUAAAGGUGGAUUUUACGCAUAAAUGACACGUUUGUUUAAGAUGUUUUUGCUCUAUUUUUACAAGAAAGUAAGGGGCGUUUUGGACAUUUUAACUAGUUUUGGAAAACUUACAUCAGCCAUGUUCUGGAAAAGCUUCCCGGUGAGAUCUUUGAGUUCCUUCUUUUCGUCCUUUGGCUUUGCGGAGAUGAUCGUCUUGAGGUCAUAACGAAGGUACUCCGACUUCAAACGAAGAUCGUUCUGGACAUAUGGCCAUGCCUUUUUGUCGAUGAACUCCUUGACAUUUACAAUUUCUUUCGCCGAUUCCUUUACACGAGCUGUGGCCUCAGUUGGUGAUAAUGGCUGGAUGAAGAACCGGUUCUUCAAUGGUAGAUCAAAGUCUCUUGCCUCAUCGGAGUUAAGAGUACCAGCUGCAAUCACACAUAAAGAUUCAUUAAAAUUAUAAAAAUUAAAGGGUAUUACAAGAGGUUGCCGGAGACUUACGGAGUCCACCGGAAGGUGGUGGAGGUGGGCCUAACUUGAUCGGUUUAGCAUCAGCAAGAACCGCCUGAACAAAAGAACCGGAAGCAAGACCAGUGGCAAUGAGUCCCAACACAGCUCUUCUGCUUGUUUCGGAUUCACCUUGUCCUUGUUGGGCUCUAACUACGAGUCCAGACCGGGAAACAGCAAUCCGGUUGUUCCCAACCGGUGUCAAACGGGUGGAGCUGUUGAGCUGGAGGCUGCCUUCCAAGACAGCUAGAGAGGAA
Lactuca sativa (garden lettuce) is the source of this 1753-nucleotide long non-coding RNA. RefSeq lists it as uncharacterized. Lineage: Eukaryota; Viridiplantae; Streptophyta; Magnoliopsida; Asterales; Asteraceae. The record is from RefSeq and is a predicted model, not a curated record.